Molecule: ribosomal RNA, 492 nt
Filed under: uncultured bacterium
Lineage: Bacteria
Description: partial 16S ribosomal RNA
Rfam family: Bacterial small subunit ribosomal RNA
Source: RNAcentral
AGUGAACGCUGGCGGUAGGCCUAACACAUGCAGGUCGGACGGCAGCACAGUAAGAGCUUGCUCUUACGGGUGGCGAGUGGCGGACGGGUGAGGAAUACAUCGGAAUCUACUUUUUCGUGGGGGAUAACGUAGGGAAACUUACGCUAAUACCGCAUACGACCUACGGGUGAAAGCAGGGGAUCUUCGGACCUUGCGCGAUUGAAUGAGCCGAUGUCGGAUUAGCUAGUUGGCGGGGUAAAGGCCCACCAAGGCGACGAUCCGUAGCUGGUCUGAGAGGAUGAUCAGCCACACUGGAACUGAGACACGGUCCAGACUCCUACGGGAGGCAGCAGUGGGGAAUAUUGGACAAUGGGCGCAAGCCUGAUCCAGCCAUACCGCGUGGGUGAAGAAGGCCUUCGGGUUGUAAAGCCCUUUUGUUGGGAAAGAAAAGCAGCAGGUUAAUACCCCGCUGUUCUGACGGUACCCAAAGAAUAAGCACCGGCUAACUUCGUG